GAUGAACGCUGGCAGAAUGCUUAACACAUGCAAGUCUUUCGCGAAGCUGUGCUUGUUCCGCCUCGCCAAGGAGGACCGGAGAGUAACGCGACAGGUACUUGCCCUGCAGAUAGGACUAAGAGAAGGUAACGAAUGCUAAGCUCUGGCAAAGUAAGGUGGACUACUGCACAGUCCGAUGAAAAGAGAUGCUGUAGGAGAGACUUGUGUCCUAUUUGCCUGCUGGUGGGGUAACGGCCCACCAAGGCGAUGAUAGGUAGCCGGCCUGAGAGGGUGGACGGCCACAAGGGGACUGGGAUACGGCAGUUACGCCUACUGGAGGCAGCAGUGAAGAAUGUUGGACAAUGGGGGCAACCCUGAUCCAGCAAUUCUGUGUGCACGAUGAAGUUUUUCGGAUUGAAAAGUGCUUUCAGCAGGGAAGAAAAAAAUGACGGUACCUGCAGAAGAAGCGACGGCUAAAUACGUG
Molecule: ribosomal RNA, 463 nt
Filed under: uncultured bacterium
Lineage: Bacteria
Description: partial 16S ribosomal RNA
Rfam family: Bacterial small subunit ribosomal RNA
Source: RNAcentral